Molecule: long non-coding RNA, 1431 nt
Filed under: Homo sapiens (human)
Lineage: Eukaryota; Metazoa; Chordata; Mammalia; Primates; Hominidae
Description: HSALNT0242258
Source: RNAcentral
UGACACUGGCAUGGCUUGGGAGGGCGCCGACCUGAUGUUGUCAGCUAGGACGGCCCUGCCCUCCGGGACCAGAGAGAAACCCCAAACCUCAGCUUCUCCUUGGGAAAGCAGAGGCUUCCCUUUGUGGUUUGGGAGCAAAGCCAGCUCCUUGACCCUGUUUGACUCGGCCAUCUGGGGCUUAGUGGGCUGUGAGAUCUUUGAGACACCCCCCAGCAAAGGGGAAGAAUGCCCCCCUGCUUACAGACUGGGAAACUGAGGUCCAAAGAGGGAAAUGGUUUGUCCAAUUGGGAUCACACAGCGCAGAGGGAAAAGCAGAGAAUCUGGAGAACACAGUCAGUGAAAUUAGGACUCCCGAGGGAAAGGGGCAGGCUAGGGAGUGGGGAGUGGAUGAGAAGUGCAGGAACUGUACGGAGAGAAUGCACUGGGCACUAAGCUGUCCCCUUCCCAAGUGCUGGGAGCUUAGGGUAACUUUCUCUUAUGGCUCCUAUUGACAGAUAGGGUACCGGGCCUAUGACAGGAGAGAAAUACUUACCUGGUUACUAGUUGAGUUUUUCAGUAUUAAUGACUUUAUGAACAUACAGGAGUUAAAAUUGCAGCAUCAGAGAUGGAAGGCAGACUUCAGGAAGAACUUCGCACUUUUGUGGAUGAGGGCCUUUGAGAUAGGUGGCGAAUCCAUGAGCAGGCAUUCUGCCCUGCCCAGUCCUCUGGUUCCCUCUCUGGGUUACUGGGGCAUCUCUCACAUCCAUCCCACAGCCUUCCCCCUCCACACUGUCCUCAGCAUGGAAUGAAAUGCCUGUGGACUUUGUCAUCAUGAGAAGAUCCCACAUUCUGGAAAACCGGAGGUGACAUCACCACAGCUUUGCACCAGGUCUUUCAGAGCCUUCUAGGCCUGGUGACUCCUUGUCAGUGGCCAGGGGCACAUGAUGUGACUCAGAAAGGAGAGGGCAGAAGGCAGGGGAUCUGGCUGUAGCAGGACUUAGUGGGGGUGUCAUUGCCCUUCUCUGAGCCUCCUGUUCUCCAGUGAGGCGCCUGGACUGGAACAGUGGCUUUUACAGGGGUAAAGGAGUCUGUGUUGUUGAACCUGCACAGAAGGACAGAGCCUCCCAUCUGUCCAUAUCCCCUAUAGGAAACCCUCCCUGAGUCCCCGCUGCCAGAAUGAAUCUCUCUUUCCUCGGCCCUCAUCAGCAAGCACCGAAGCUCACACAUUCCUGGGACAUGGCUCCCAUGCCUUGCAUUGCUGUCCGGGGACUCCUGCCCACUCCCCACCUAGAACACCAGACCUCUAAGGCAGGGAUGUGUCCACUCCGGAACUGACCCAAGGCUUGGGCGUCAAUGUGUCAGGGCUCAGUCUCAUGCAGCCUGGGUGGCUACAAUGCUCUUGGCUGUCCCCACUCUGGGGGAGUUUGGAGAAUACCCCCAGCCCCCAAGAAG